CUCUGCAGCUCAGGGUAUGACUGGGCCAGAGGUUCUAGGGAGCUGAAUUAAAAUGCAUUUUUUACAGAACACAACAGAGUUUAAGUUGGAGAAUUAACAAGGCCUGCCAAACCCGAAUCAUUGGAACAUUCAAACAACUGAACUGUCAUACAGAGACCCGUAGAAUAAAGUGACCGACAACCAGAGGGAGAGCUCUCAUGUUCCUCCUCGAGCAGUUUCUUGUUCCAAGAUACCUUUAAGUACACUGGGUCCACACACAGAUAGAUACGUUUCUCAAGGAUGCUACAAAAAUCCAACCAUCCGGAGCCUAGAUGAACUGGAGUGCCAGAGAAGGUUCAUAAAGAGAGUUUACAAUUCUAAAAGGUAAUCCAAAGAGCUCAAACCAUUUCCCUCAAUCAAGCCCAAUCGUAAAUAAGUCACGGAGUUUUGAAAGUCAAGCUAAACCUAGGCACAUGACCUUACCCCAAGUGAGGAUGUGUUAUAUUCAAAAAUGGUUCUACUGAUUCUUACCAAGAACAAGAUAAAUGAU
Long non-coding RNA from Lutra lutra (Eurasian river otter), 529 nucleotides. RefSeq lists it as uncharacterized. NCBI's taxonomy places the organism in Eukaryota, Metazoa, Chordata, Mammalia, Carnivora, Mustelidae. The record is from RefSeq and is a predicted model, not a curated record. The transcript is spliced from 3 exons.